AUUGAACGCUGGCGGCAGGCUUAACACAUGCAAGUCGAGCGGGGUGAUGGUGCUUGCACUAUCACUUAGCGGCGGACGGGUGAGUAAUGCUUAGGAAUCUGCCUAUUAGUGGGGGACAACAUCUCGAAAGGGAUGCUAAUACCGCAUACGUCCUACGGGAGAAAGCAGGGGAUCACUUGUGACCUUGCGCUAAUAGAUGAGCCUAAGUCGGAUUAGCUAGUUGGGGGGGUAAAGGCCUACCAAGGCGACGAUCUGUAGCGGGUCUGAGAGGAGGAUCCGCAAACCUGGGACUGAGACACAGCCCAGACUCCUACAGGAGGAAGCAGUGGGGAAUAUUGGACAAUGGGGGGAACCCGGAUCCAGCCAUGCCGCGUGUGUGAAGAAGGCCUUAUGGUUGUAAAGCACUUUAAGCGAGGAGGAGGCUCUUUUGGUUAAUACCCAAGAUGAGUGGACGUUACUCGCAGAAUAAGCACCGGCUAACUCUGUGCCAGCCGCCGCCGUAA
This 503-nucleotide ribosomal RNA is filed under the name uncultured bacterium. Its description in RNAcentral is "partial 16S ribosomal RNA". It matches the Rfam family "Bacterial small subunit ribosomal RNA", at positions 30 to 523 of the family's 1533-position model. The record is from RNAcentral.